Molecule: ribosomal RNA, 809 nt
Filed under: Dermacentor nuttalli
Lineage: Eukaryota; Metazoa; Arthropoda; Arachnida; Ixodida; Ixodidae
Description: SSU rRNA
Rfam family: Eukaryotic small subunit ribosomal RNA
Source: RNAcentral
CCUCCCUUAUUAAAUCAGUUAUGGUUCCUUAGAUCGUUUCUUCCUACUUGGAUAACUGUGGCAAUUCUAGAGCUAAUACAUGCAGUGAGCCUGAAGCCCUUUGGGCGACGGGUGCUUUUAUUAGACCAAGAUCGAUCGGGUUUCGGCCCGUAUUGUGUGGUGACUCUGGAUAACUUUGUGCUGAUCGCAUGGCCACGAGCCGGCGACGUUUCUUUCAAGUGUCUGCCUUAUCAACUUUCGAUGGUAGGUUACUUGCUUACCAUGGUUGUUACGGGUAACGGAGAAUCAGGGUUCGAUUCCGGAGAGGGAGCCUGAGAAACGGCUACCACAUCCAAGGAAGGCAGCAGGCGCGCAAAUUACCCACUCCCGGCACGGGGAGGUAGUGACGAAAAAUAACAAUACGGGACUCUUUUGAGGCCCCGUAAUUGAAAUGAGUACACUCUAAAUCCUUUAACGAGGAUCAAUUGGAGGGCAAGUCUGGUGCCAGCAGCCGCGGUAAUUCCAGCUCCAAUAGCGUAUACUAAAGCUGCUGCGGUUAAAAAGCUCGUAGUUGGAUCUCAGUUCCAGACGAGUAGUGCAUCUACCCGAUGCGACGGCUCGGACUGAACAUCAUGCCGGUCCUUUCUUGGUGCACUUCAUUGUGUGCCUCGAGAAGGCCGGUGCUUUUACUUUGAAAAAAUUAGAGUGCUCAACGCAGGCGAGUCGCCUGAAUAAACUUGCAUGGAAUAAUAGAACAAGACCUCGUUUCUGUUCUGUUGGUUUUUUGGAAUACGAGGUAAUGAUUAAGAGGGGACAGACGGGGGGCAUUC